RNAcentral lists this non-coding RNA (102 nucleotides) under Pontibacillus chungwhensis. Its description in RNAcentral is "Guanine sequence". It matches the Rfam family "Purine riboswitch aptamer". From Rfam's summary of the family: Riboswitches are metabolite binding domains within certain messenger RNAs that serve as precision sensors for their corresponding targets. Allosteric rearrangement of mRNA structure is mediated by ligand binding, and this results in modulation of gene expression. Lineage: Bacteria; Bacillati; Bacillota; Bacilli; Caryophanales; Bacillaceae. RNAcentral also lists the same sequence under 1 other name. The record is from RNAcentral.
UUCAACUUCAUACAAACACCUUAUAUAUCUAUGGAAAUAGGGUCCAUAAGUCUCUACCUGGCAACCGUAAAUUGCCGGACUAUAAGGAAAGUCUGCAUAUAA